GAUAAACGCUGGCGGCGUGCCUAAAACAUGCAAGUCGAACGGACACUUCGGUGUUAGUGGCGAACGGCUGAGUAACACGUGGAUGACCUGCCCCGGAGCGGGGGAUAACUGCCCGAAAGGGUGGCUAAUACCGCAGAUAUCAUGGAUUCGUUUUCAUGAUUGAACCGAAUGAGGGUUCUGGGAGGGGUCCGCGGCCGAUUAGCUAGCUGGUGGGGUAAUGGCCUACCAGGGCGACGAUCGGUAGCUGGUCUGAGAGGAUGAUCAGCCAGACUGGGACUGCGAACGGCCCAGACUCCUACGGGAGGCAGCAGUUAGGAAUUUUGGGCAAUGGGCGAAAGCCUGACCCAGCAACGCCGCGUGGGUGAAGAAGGCCCUCGGGUCGUAAAGCCCUUUUCCCAGGGAAGAUGAUGACGGUACCUGGGGAAUCAGCCCCGGCUAACUACGUGCCAGCAGCCGCCGUAAAAC
Molecule: ribosomal RNA, 465 nt
Filed under: uncultured bacterium
Lineage: Bacteria
Description: bacterial SSU rRNA
Rfam family: Bacterial small subunit ribosomal RNA
Source: RNAcentral